AGAGAGGCUCUGUGAACAAGUGAGGCAAGCAAAGGCUGCUCACAGCUAAUGGCAAGGCCCCACCUCCCACAGAGACUCGGAGGCAGGCUGCGGAGUAAGACAGCUUCACAGUGCAACAAGGGAGGGCUUCCGGUCUGCCCUAGCUGGAGGCUGCGGACCUGGGGAGCUGCAGGCGGGCUAUGAGAUGGUCAGAGGCUGAGGAUGGCAUUUAAGCACAAGUCUCAACCUUGUUGAUUGGGCUGUUCGUUUCUGUGGCACCAGGAAUUCCCUGCCGUUUGUCAAGCAGUAUUGUUGCACAGCAUCCUUGCUGCCACACUCUGGAGAGUUCUUGACAUCCCAGCAGCAAGUUCUGGCACAUUCUCACAACACCCAGGUCCUUGGCAGGAGAGGAACCAGAUGUAUUGUGCCAGAGAGUCCCAGGACCAUUUCCAAGUACCAGAGAGUCACUGAGUGCCCAUCAGGAUGGAGAUGAAGUCUCUGGGGAUGGACUGGACACACUGUGCCCAUCAGGAUGGAGAUGCAGUCUCUGGGGAUGGACUGAGCACACUGUGCACUCAGCCCUUGAGGAAGCAGAGACACUCAUUACUGAUUGGCCUAGUCUGAGUGUUUUUAAACUUCUGUGCAACUCAAGCUGCUUCUCCAACAUAGCACAUCCCUACACCAGAGCCAGCUGUGUCCAUUGAGGACUUCCUGUAGCUCAAGACGAUGCAAAUCAUCUGAAUAGAGCUGAGGAGAGAAGUGGAGAUCUUUGUCCUUGGGACCAAAAGAAACUGCAGCAUGAGAAGCUGUCCUGGUGCCAAUGGAGAGGCGUGCAGAGAACCAGGUCCAUUGCGCACAGACAAUAGACACGUUAUGUCCUUACUGAAGACUCCGAGGGCUGCUCAAAGCUCCACUUGGAGUGGAGGAGUGGAGAAGUGGUUCAUUGCGGAGGUGGGGCAGGUUGCCCACUGGUUUGGGAAGACACUUCCAUCACCAGUCCCAACCCUUGUUAUUCCCCUGGAGGUAGAUACUCAGUUGUCUGAGAAAAGAUGAAGUCAUCUCUGUUGGGUUUCAGGAUGUGAACGUGGAAGUGCUGGACCCAGAGGGGCGGAUGGAGGUGGAGAUGGAGAAGGUUGAUAAUGUCAAGACCCAAGAGGUGGUGCCUGAUGAACCACAGGGUGUGCUAAGGAGCCAGCCCCCGCCUGGGGUAUGGAGGCUGGCUGGUAGAAGACAGCUCUGAGCAUGUGGGUCCAAGCCAGUACCCAGGAACAAGCCCGGACAUGGGACCCACACCUGAACUGUGAUCUCAUGCCUAACAGGGCCACCACUCUACAGUUGUCUUGUCCAUGACUUCUGCACCCUGAGAAUGGCAUCUGCCUAUCCCCUAGAUACAACCGAAUGCCAGAAACAGUGUGUGCCAAAACAACCCCAAGAAACUGUAAGACCAGCACACCCCAAGCUGGGCUGUGAACUUGAUGUUAUCACUCAUUAGCCGAUACAGACCUGUAGGUCCCACGUCAGCCAAGAAUAUUGAGGCCAUGGGAAAUCGGGGCUUGUGGUGAUUUGGAUGAGAAGUCCCCCAUAGUCUUGGGACAUUUGAACACUUUGUUCCCUGUUGGUGGCACUGUUUGUAUAGGUUUCUGAGGUAUGACCUUGCUGGAGGAAGUGUGUCACUGGGGAUGGACUUUGAAAGACUGAACCACUUCUCAUUCACUCUCUUCCUCCUGGGGGUUCUAGACUUAUGUUCAAGACUUAGCUUCCUGCUUUGGCUGUCACACCUCCUCUAAGCCAUGAUAGACUCUCAUCCCAUGGGAACCAGAAACCCAAAUAAGCUCUCUCUUCUAGAAGUUGCCUUGGCUGUGGUGUUUUAUUACAGUGAUAGAAAAGUAACUCAGGCAGGGCCAAAGGAGAGGAAGACAUUUCUAUGUGUGUUAGACCCCCGAAAACUCAAGUAUCCGGGGUCUCAGGCCAGGUUCGCGGUCACCCCAAUCACCAGGCGGAUUCGAGAGCUUGCUGCAAACUGCACGAGGCUUUAUUGUAAUUUAACGAACUAACCCCAUACCCCCGAAAACUCAAGUAUCCGGGGUCUCAGGCCAGGUUCGCGGUCACCCAAUCACCAGGCGGAUUCGAGAGCUUGCUGCAAACUGCACGAGGCUUUAUUGUAAUUUAACGAACUAACCCCAUGUUAGCUCGGGUCUUUCACCCACCCGCCAUGGCAGACGGCUAGAAAAAGACGGCUCCU
RNAcentral lists this long non-coding RNA (2221 nucleotides) under Cricetulus griseus (Chinese hamster). RNAcentral's name for it is "lncRNA (ENSCGRG00015039168.1)". Lineage: Eukaryota; Metazoa; Chordata; Mammalia; Rodentia; Cricetidae. The record is from RNAcentral.